RNAcentral lists this ribosomal RNA (253 nucleotides) under uncultured bacterium. RNAcentral's name for it is "partial 16S ribosomal RNA". It matches the Rfam family "Bacterial small subunit ribosomal RNA", at positions 524 to 776 of the family's 1533-position model. The record is from RNAcentral.
UACGUAGGGGGCUAGCGUUGUCCGGAAUCAUUGGGCGUAAAGCGCGUGUAGGCGGUCCGGUAAGUCCGCUGUGAAAGUCGGGGGCUCAACCCCAGGUCUGCCGUGCGAACUGGUGGACUAGAGCACUGUAGAGGCAGGUGGAAUUCCGGGUGUAGCGGUGGAAUGCGUAGAGAUCCGGAAGAACACCGGUGGCGAAGGCGGCCUGCUGGGCAGUUGCUGACGCUGAGGCGCGACAGCGUGGGGAGCAAACAGG